UACGUAGGGUGCGAGCGUUAAUCGGAAUUACUGGGCGUAAAGCGUGCGCAGGCGGCUUUGCAAGACAGAUGUGAAAUCCCCGGGCUCAACCUGGGAACUGCAUUUGUGACUGCAAGGCUAGAGUACGGCAGAGGGGGAUUGAAUUCCGCGUGUAGCAGUGAAAUGCGUAGAUAUGCGGAGGAACACCAAUGGCGAAGGCAAUCCCCUGGGCCUGUACUGACGCUCAUGCACGAAAGCGUGGGGAGCAAACAGG
Molecule: ribosomal RNA, 253 nt
Filed under: uncultured bacterium
Lineage: Bacteria
Description: partial 16S ribosomal RNA
Rfam family: Bacterial small subunit ribosomal RNA
Source: RNAcentral